CCUACGGGGUGCAGCAGUGGGGAAUAUUGCGCAAUGGGCGAAAGCCUGACGCAGCGACGCCGCGUGAGGGAUGAAGGUCUUCGGAUCGUAAACCUCUGUCAGCAGGGAAGAACGGUCACUGUGCUAAUCAGCAGUGAAUUGACGGUACCUGCAAAGGAAGCACCGGCUACCUCCGUGCCAGCAGCCGCGGUAAUACGGAGGGUGCGAGCGUUAAUCGGAAUUACUGGGCAUAAAGCGCUCGUAGGCGGUAUGUCAAGUCAAGGGUGAAAUCCCCGCGCUCAACGUGGGAACUGCCUUUGAAACUGGCAAACUGGAGUGUGUGAGAGGAUAGUGGAAUUCCAGGUGUAGGAGUGAAAGCCGUAGAUAUCUGGAGGAACAUCAGUGGCGAAGGCGACUAUCUGGCACAUAACUGACGCUGAGGAGCGAAAGCGUGGGUAGCAAACAGGAUUAGAUACCCGGGUAGUC
Molecule: ribosomal RNA, 465 nt
Filed under: uncultured bacterium
Lineage: Bacteria
Description: partial 16S ribosomal RNA
Rfam family: Bacterial small subunit ribosomal RNA
Source: RNAcentral